CGACGCAAAGCGGCGGCCCGAAGGGUGAGGAACGCAGUGACGAAUAAUCCUUCCCCCACCACCA
RNAcentral lists this small RNA (64 nucleotides) under Yersinia pestis. Its description in RNAcentral is "partial RtT sRNA". It matches the Rfam family "RtT RNA", at positions 66 to 130 of the family's 130-position model. Rfam says of the family: This family represents a bacterial cis-regulatory element known as RtT RNA. The exact function of RtT is unknown although it is thought that it may be involved in changing the cellular response in relation to amino acid starvation. Lineage: Bacteria; Pseudomonadati; Pseudomonadota; Gammaproteobacteria; Enterobacterales; Yersiniaceae. The record is from RNAcentral. RNAcentral also lists the same sequence under 1 other name.